AGUGAACGCUGGCGGUAGGCCUAACACAUGCAAGUCGAACGGCAGCACAGUAAGAGCUUGCUCUUACGGGUGGCGAGUGGCGGACGGGUGAGGAAUACAUCGGAAUCUACUUUUUCGUGGGGGAUAACGUAGGGAAACUUACGCUAAUACCGCAUACGACCUACGUGUGAAAGCAGGGGAUCUUCGGACCUUUCGCGAUUGAAUGAGCCGGUGUCGUAUUAGCUAGUUGGUGGGGUAAAGGCCCACCAAGGCGACGAUCCAUAGCCGGUCUGAGAGGGUGAUCGGCCACACUGGGACUGAGACACGGCCCAGACUCCUACGGGAGGCAGCAGUAGGGAAUCUUCCGCAAUGGACGAAAGUCUGACGGAGCAAUGCCGCGUGAGUGAAGAAGGUUUUCGGAUCGUAAAACUCUGUUGUAAGGGAAGAACAAGUACGUUAGUAACUGAACGUACCUUGACGGUACCUUACCAGAAAGCCACGGCUAACUACGU
Molecule: ribosomal RNA, 491 nt
Filed under: uncultured bacterium
Lineage: Bacteria
Description: partial 16S ribosomal RNA
Rfam family: Bacterial small subunit ribosomal RNA
Source: RNAcentral